ACUCCUACGGGAGGCAGCAGUGGGGAAUUUUGGACAAUGGGCGAAAGCCUGAUCCAGCAAUGCCGCGUGAGUGAAGAAGGCCUUCGGGUUGUAAAGCUCUUUUGUCAGGGAAGAAACGGUGAAAGCUAAUAUCUUUUGCUAAUGACGGUACCUGAAGAAUAAGCACCGGCUAACUACGUGCCAGCAGCCGCGGUAAUACGUAGGGUGCAAGCGUUAAUCGGAAUUACUGGGCGUAAAGCGUGCGCAGGCGGUUUUGUAAGUCUGAUGUGAAAUCCCCGGGCUCAACCUGGGAAUUGCAUUGGAGACUGCAAGGCUAGAAUCUGGCAGAGGGGGGUAGAAUUCCACGUGUAGCAGUGAAAUGCGUAGAUAUGUGGAGGAACACCGAUAGCGAAGGCAGCCCCCUGGGUCAAGAUUGACGCUCAUGCACGAAAGCGUGGGGAGCAAACAGGAUUAGAAACCCUAGUAGUCCCAUGA
Molecule: ribosomal RNA, 474 nt
Filed under: uncultured organism
Description: partial 16S ribosomal RNA
Rfam family: Bacterial small subunit ribosomal RNA
Source: RNAcentral